ACAACGGAGAGUUUGAUCCUGGCUCAGAACGAACGUUGGCGGCGUGGUUUAGGCAUGCAAGUCGAACGAGAAAGCUUCCUUCGGGAAGUGAGUAAAGUGGCGAACGGGAGAGUAACGCGUGGGAAACCUACCCUUCAGCGGGGGACAACACCUCUAACGAGGUGCUAAUACCGCAUACGACCCGGGCAUCGCAUGGUACCCGGGUGAAAGAUGGCCUCUGCUCGCAAGCUGUCACUGGAGGAUGGUCCCGCGUCCCAUUAGUUAGUUGGUGGGGUAAUGGCCUACCAAGGCGACGAUGGGUAGCCGGCCUGAGAGGGUGUCCGGCCUCACUGGGACUGAGAUACGGCCCAGACUCCUACGGGAGGCAGCAGUCGAGAGGCUUCGGCAAUGGGGGAAACCCUGACCGAGCGACGCCGCGUGAGGGAUGAAGCUCUUCGGGGUGUAAACCUCUUUUCUGGGGGAAGA
Molecule: ribosomal RNA, 465 nt
Filed under: bacterium
Lineage: Bacteria
Description: bacterial SSU rRNA
Rfam family: Bacterial small subunit ribosomal RNA
Source: RNAcentral